RNAcentral lists this ribosomal RNA (253 nucleotides) under uncultured bacterium. RNAcentral's name for it is "partial 16S ribosomal RNA". It matches the Rfam family "Bacterial small subunit ribosomal RNA", at positions 524 to 775 of the family's 1533-position model. The record is from RNAcentral.
UACGAAGGGGCUGCAGCGUUAAUCGGAAUUACUGGGCGUAAAGCGUGCGCAGGCGGUUCGCUAAGACAGAUGUGAAAUCCCCGGGCUUAACCUGGGAACUGCAUUUGUGACUGGCGGGCUAGAGUAUGGCAGAGGGGGGUAGAAUUCCACGUGUAGCAGUGAAAUGCGUAGAGAUGUGGAGGAAUACCGAUGGCGAAGGCAGCCCCCUGGGCCAAUACUGACGCUCAUGCACGAAAGCGUGGGGAGCAAACGG